GUAAAAAACUCUUUAUGUGGCUCUUAAAAGGCACAGUGAGAAUGUUCAACUUCAGAACCUUAGCGGGACUCUAAAGCCGCACAGCUUUUUGGUCGCCUAGUUCAAAGUUGUGAGACAUGGACGGCUUCCUUGCCAAGUACCUUGCUAUAGGGCUUGCUAGUGCACUCGUUGCGCUGAUGGUUGCCCCCUACAGCGCUGAAGCAUUUCCUCCGCCAUUCGUAAUAGAAGCUGCCGCAAAAGCACUUGAAAACCUUUUUGGAAGGAAUGAGCAAAAGUCCGAGGAGUGAGGUCGACGCAUAGCCAUGUGGCCCUCCUGCAGAGCAUGAAUGCGCAAGUCUAAUAAAAUUCAAUCAAUUCAAUGAAGCUGCCGACUGAUGUAGACACAAUAAAUUGGAAACCUUGGAGACAAGUUAACUAUA
Molecule: long non-coding RNA, 419 nt
Organism: Rhipicephalus microplus (southern cattle tick)
Lineage: Eukaryota; Metazoa; Arthropoda; Arachnida; Ixodida; Ixodidae
Source: RefSeq, a predicted model, not a curated record